Molecule: long non-coding RNA, 988 nt
Filed under: Nicotiana benthamiana
Lineage: Eukaryota; Viridiplantae; Streptophyta; Magnoliopsida; Solanales; Solanaceae
Description: long non-coding RNA (NBEN_LNC023532)
Source: RNAcentral
AUCAACAAACCCUAUCUUGUUUCUAGCUGAUAGAGAAACCAUUACAUUUCUUCUCCAUCCCCAAAACCAACCCCUGAGAAUGGGUUGGUGACCAAGGAUAUACCAGGAACAUCAGAUGACAUAAGAAAUAAAGGGUUUGUGGGGCUAGGAACGAAUGUUGUAGGUUCAGAAGUAGAAUCUUCAUCAUUUCCCACCAUUUUGACUACUGAAUAUGUUGAAAAACCCAAAUAAACCAACAACUCUCAAUUACAGACUCAAAACUCACCAACAAUCGGUUGAAAACUCAAAAUAGGCCAACAAAUCGUAAUUACAAACUCAAGCUAACCAACAACUGUAACUACAAACUCAUCAAAUCAACAGAUCGUGACUACAAAAACAACUAACACAAUAUCCAACCAAAAAAAAUCAACAAAAACACAUGCUAACACAUUUAUACAACAUGAAACAAACUUUACAGACAAACAAAAAAUCAACAAAAACACAUGCUAACUCAUUUAUACAAUAUGAAACAAACUUUACAGACAAAAAUUGAGAGUUUUACGAGGAACUAACCAAAUCGAGAAAACCCUAGUUUCUGAAAAUCAACAAAAAACUGGACGAGAACGGUUGAGGGUAACAUCGAUCGAAUCCUCAUGACGAGUAGAGUCGGAAUAUACCCGCUCUGAUACCAUGUCAACAUUGUAACUCGUCGAUUUGAAGAAAGAAAGGAAGAAGAAGAUGAACAGUGCGAGAGGAAAGAGAAGAGAGGAAAAUCUGAGAAAAUAUCGAAAUGAUUUCAUCUNNNNNNNNNNNNNNNGAAGCUUCCGCUUCUGUAUAUACAAAACAAUAAAGAAUAUAAUGUGUGUGUGUGAAAUUACAUGUGUGUCCCUUUCUUUAUAUACAAACAUAUACAGCAACUAAAUAAUACAAUUGCCCUUGGGCUAGUAUUGGGCUAGUGUCAACUAAAACAUUAUUGGGCUGAAGUUGUGGAUCCAAUCUGAAGUCCAAC